AUACUAACCUUGCGUAGGGUGUACCGUGAUCAGGAAGGCGGUUGCCCCAGGGCGACGCCAGCCAUUGCACCUCGGUUGGACGACGGCGCUCUGUGACUAUCCCAAGUAGGGGUCAGUCGUGCGUGCAAUUUUUGAUAGUUGGACUUGCGUUAGAGCGCGGUCCAU
Small nuclear RNA from Pectinophora gossypiella (pink bollworm), 165 nucleotides. RefSeq annotates it as U1 spliceosomal RNA. NCBI's taxonomy places the organism in Eukaryota, Metazoa, Arthropoda, Insecta, Lepidoptera, Gelechiidae. The transcript has a single exon. The record is from RefSeq and is a predicted model, not a curated record.